Phlebiopsis gigantea 11061_1 CR5-6 is the source of this 93-nucleotide transfer RNA. It matches the Rfam family "tRNA". From Rfam's summary of the family: Transfer RNA (tRNA) molecules are approximately 80 nucleotides in length. Their secondary structure includes four short double-helical elements and three loops (D, anti-codon, and T loops). Further hydrogen bonds mediate the characteristic L-shaped molecular structure. tRNAs have two regions of fundamental functional importance: the anti-codon, which is responsible for specific mRNA codon recognition, and the 3' end, to which the tRNAs corresponding amino acid is attached (by aminoacyl-tRNA synthetases). tRNAs cope with the degeneracy of the genetic code in two manners: having more than one tRNA (with a specific anti-codon) for a particular amino acid; and 'wobble' base-pairing, i.e. permitting non-standard base-pairing at the 3rd anti-codon position. The record is from Rfam. Lineage: Eukaryota; Fungi; Basidiomycota; Agaricomycetes; Polyporales; Phanerochaetaceae.
GGUGAGAUGGCCGAGCGGUCUAAGGCGCCAGACUAAGGUGGUCAGCUUGACAUCUGGUCCGAAAGGGCGUGGGUUCGAAUCCCACUCUCAUCA